RNAcentral lists this unclassified non-coding RNA (391 nucleotides) under soil metagenome. Its description in RNAcentral is "partial contains 5.8S ribosomal RNA, internal transcribed spacer 2, and large subunit ribosomal RNA". The stretch from base 1 to 122 matches the Rfam family "5.8S ribosomal RNA", at positions 35 to 154 of the family's 154-position model. The record is from RNAcentral.
GAUGAAGAACGCAGCGAAAUGCGAUACUUGGUGUGAAUUGCAGAAUCCCGUGAACCAUCGAGUUUUUGAACGCAAGUUGCGCCCGAAGCCAUUAGGCCGAGGGCACGCCUGCCUGGGCGUCACACGUCGUUGCCCCCCCAUCUACUCCUUCGGGAUUGCGGGGGGCGGAUGAUGGCCUCCCGUGCGCCUCGUCGCGCGGUUGGCAUAAAUGCCAAGUCCUCGGCGACACACGCCACGACAAUCGGUGGUUGCGAAACCUCGGUUGCCCGUCGUGUGCGGUCGUCGCGCAUCGAGGGCUCGAAAAAAUUGCCGGGCUCCGGCUCGGCUUUCAACGCGACCCCAGGUCAGGCGGGGUUACCCGCUGAAUUUAAGCAUAUCAAUAAGCGGAGGA